This 526-nucleotide ribosomal RNA is filed under the name uncultured bacterium. RNAcentral describes it as "bacterial SSU rRNA". It matches the Rfam family "Bacterial small subunit ribosomal RNA", at positions 982 to 1509 of the family's 1533-position model. The record is from RNAcentral.
GUACAUCCAGAGAACUUGGCAGAGAUGCCUUGGUGCCUUCGGGACCUCUGAGACAGGUGCUGCAUGGCUGUCGUCAGCUCGUGUUGUGAAAUGUUGGUUAAGUCCCGNAACGAGCGCAACCCCUAUCCUUUGUUGCCAGCGAUUCGGUCGGGAACUCAAAGGAGACUGCCGGUGAUAAACCGGAGGAAGGUGGGGAUGACGUCAAGUCAUCAUGGCCCUUACGAGUAGGGCUACACACGUGCUACAAUGGCGCAUACAAAGAGAAGCGACCUCGCGAGAGCAAGCGGACCUCAUAAAGUGCGUCGUAGUCCGGAUCGGAGUCUGCAACUCGACUCCGUGAAGUCGGAAUCGCUAGUAAUCGUAGAUCAGAAUGCUACGGUGAAUACGUUCCCGGGCCUUGUACACACCGCCCGUCACACCAUGGGAGUGGGUUGCAAAAGAAGUAGAUAGCUUAACCUUCGGGAGGGCGUUUACCACUUUGUGAUUCAUGACUGGGGUGAAGUCGUAACAAGGUAAGCGUAGCGAG